RNAcentral lists this ribosomal RNA (253 nucleotides) under uncultured bacterium. RNAcentral's name for it is "partial 16S ribosomal RNA". It matches the Rfam family "Bacterial small subunit ribosomal RNA", at positions 524 to 776 of the family's 1533-position model. The record is from RNAcentral.
UACGUAGGUGGCAAGCGUUGUCCGGAUUUAUUGGGUUUAAAGGGUGCGUAGGCGGCCCUGUAAGUCAGUGCUGAAAUAUCCCAGCUUAACUGGGAGGGUGGCAUUGAUACUGCGGGGCUAGAGUACAGAUGAGGUAGGCGGAAUUGACGGUGUAGCGGUGAAAUGCGUAGAUAUCGAGAGGAACACCUGCGGCGAAGGCGGGUUGCUGGGCUGACACUGACGCUGAGGAGCGAAAGCUAGGGGAGCAAACGGG